RNAcentral lists this small RNA (2202 nucleotides) under Pan troglodytes (chimpanzee). Its description in RNAcentral is "retained intron". Lineage: Eukaryota; Metazoa; Chordata; Mammalia; Primates; Hominidae. The record is from RNAcentral.
UCGGCUCCCUGGGCAUGGCACAGGAUGUGAGAGCCCACCAGACCUCCACCCCCAAUGCCGAGCAUGGCAGGGCCCCCAACGGCUGGGCCUUCUCCCGCCCCAUGUGUCUGCCCAUCCCUCCCACAGGUAGACCCCUACCUACCCUACGAGUACACCUGCGAGGGGAUGCUGGAGCGGAUCCACGCCUACAUCCAGCACCAGGACUUCUGCAUAGCUCCAGGCCCUGCCCUACCAGAGGCCCACGCCCCGCAGAGCCCCUUUGUCCUGGCCCCCAAUGCCACCCACCUCGAGUGGGCUCGGAACACCAGCUUGGCUCCUGGGGCCUGGCCCCCCGCGCACGCCCUGCGGGCCUGGCUGGCCGUGCCUGGGAGGGCCUGCACCGACACCUGCCUGGACCACGGGCUGAUCUGUGAGCCCUCCUUCUUCCCCUUCCUGAACAGCCAGGAUGCCUUCCUCAAGCUGCAGGUACCCUGUGACAGCACCGAGUCGGAGAUGAACCACCUGUACCCGGCCUUCGCCCAGCCUGGCCAGGAGUGCUACCUGCAGAAGGAGCCUCUGCUCUUCAGCUGCGCCGGCUCCAACACCAAGUACCGCCGGCUCUGCCCCUGCCGCGACUUCCGCAAGGGCCAGGUGGCCUUGUGCCAGGGCUGUCUGUGAGUCCGCCUCUGCCGCCCUGCCUGGCACCCACGCUGGCUCUCUCCUGCCGCAGGAGAAAGCACCAGCAGGUUCUGAGCCCUGGCUGCUUGUCCUCCUCGCAACCCCUCCGGGCCGGAGCUUCCUUCCUUAGCCGGGAAGCUGGCAGAGGAGAGCCGUGCCCGGGAAUAGGAGGAGGCAGCACGCCGAGCCCCUGGGACCUCCCAGGCAGGCUCCGGUUCUCUCCUGGGGACUCACGGCAGCAUCAUGGCCAAGCAGGUGUCGGACUGCUCAGAGUCCGCAUGGCCCAGGAGCAGGAGGUCGGAGGCCCCUGGCUUUGUGCAAGGCCGGAUCUGGGCCAGGUGGCGAAAGGGGCCCAGUCAUUCUUGGGCCCAGGAUGGGGCCUCUAGACUUGAGAGGAGCAGGGACCAGGCUGCCCCACGGUCCCUGAAGGGUCCAAGGAAGGGCCCUCUCCAUGGCCCUGGAGAGCGGGCCUGGGUGGUACCUGCUCCAGGCAGGGAAACUGGGGGCUCGCCCUUCUCCUGUGGGGGGAGCCAGGCACACAGGGCCCAUUGGUGUUUGGGAUGUGGACAGAGGGGCAGGGGGCUGGGAGAAGGCUAAGCCAAGGGGUCCUGCUUGUGCCUCCCCUUAGUCCCUUCCCUCCCGAUUUCCCGAUUCCCCCACCCUCCCUCUACACUUGAGGACCACAGCUGGGGGUGUAGGGACCACCCAGACCCUCGUUGAAUUGUUUCUCUCUCCUGCUUGUUCCAACCCUUUUCACUCUGGGCUUCUCCCAAAACCCAUCCUGGCAUGACCUGCGACUCCAGACGGUGGAUUUGUUCCAAAGCCUCAAUCCCUACACCCUCCAAGGGGCAGGUUUCCACUCCAGCCUCAGAGAUCAGGCUCUGGGACCCCCACCCAGGGGUGGCCUUCAUGCACCAGCCACUUCCGCAGGUGCUGACUCCCCCACUCCCUGGCAUUUUUGCAGACAAGGGCUUGGGAUGGACCCUCAGCCCCAUGGUACGCCCUGCCCAGUUUCCAGUUGCCCUGUCCACUUACCCUAGGUAGCCCCCCACCCCAUCAGUGCCAAGUCCUUGUCCCUACCUCCAGCUUCCUCCAGCCUCAAACCGCCUCUGGAUCUAGCUGUCUUUCUCCGAGUGGCACGCCUGCCCCAGGAUGCCCCCUUUCCCUCCCCCCAUGCCCAGAACCCCGCCUGCCUCAGCGGGUCAGGCCUUCAGAACACUGCCACCCACCCAGUUUUAUAAUCCCGCUCCCUCUCCAGGCAACCCCACCCACCAACCUAGGCCUGCUCCUCCACCCUUCCCGGGAGGCAGCCCCAGGAUGCUGAGAGUUGGUGGAGGGGCCAGGCUGGACGCUUCCCGUGGGAGUCCCCUCCAGACCUGGCUGGCCCCUGCAGCCACAGAAACCACGAUGGCAAAAAAUCUCAUUGGUUCCCAAGGACUAACCUGUGGGGGAAAGCAAUAGAGACACUCUUUUUCUCUCUUUUUUUAAAGAUUUAUUUCUUGAAAUAAUAAAUAUUUUAUUGGGAUGUGAGAUGUGGAAGAGGAA